GCCUUCGGGGUGUAACUGUAGCUCACUCGGCUCGUAUUCGAGAGGUCUAGGUUCGAGUCCCAGCGAGGGCA
RNAcentral lists this transfer RNA (71 nucleotides) under Stegodyphus mimosarum. It matches the Rfam family "tRNA". From Rfam's summary of the family: Transfer RNA (tRNA) molecules are approximately 80 nucleotides in length. Their secondary structure includes four short double-helical elements and three loops (D, anti-codon, and T loops). Further hydrogen bonds mediate the characteristic L-shaped molecular structure. tRNAs have two regions of fundamental functional importance: the anti-codon, which is responsible for specific mRNA codon recognition, and the 3' end, to which the tRNAs corresponding amino acid is attached (by aminoacyl-tRNA synthetases). tRNAs cope with the degeneracy of the genetic code in two manners: having more than one tRNA (with a specific anti-codon) for a particular amino acid; and 'wobble' base-pairing, i.e. permitting non-standard base-pairing at the 3rd anti-codon position. The record is from Rfam by way of RNAcentral. Lineage: Eukaryota; Metazoa; Arthropoda; Arachnida; Araneae; Eresidae.